Heterocephalus glaber (naked mole-rat) is the source of this 1388-nucleotide long non-coding RNA. The record is from Ensembl. NCBI's taxonomy places the organism in Eukaryota, Metazoa, Chordata, Mammalia, Rodentia, Bathyergidae.
GCCCCAUGUCCUUGGCCAGGGCAGCUGCAGAGGCCCUGCCUUUCGGACUCCCAGGAGGAAUAAACUGUCCCCUGCCCCGUUCUCCCAUCGUGUGUGUCACAGUCCUCUACCUACCUGGCAGUGACCCCUCGGGCUGGACCGUGCUGUUUGUCCGUGGGUGUCUUUCUACCUCUGUGUCCUCUCCUUCCGCCAGGGCCCUGUGGACCAGUGGUCAAGAUCAGACAUGUGACACGGGGAAUGAGCGGAUGGAUGAGUGGAUGGAUGGAUGGCUUGGCAGAGCUGGGGAGGCAUAAUGGUCACACUUGAAACUAUCCUCGACUCUCCCUGCAGAUUCCAGUUUGCUUUCUGGAUUUCUGUACCCGGAGCAGUUAAGCUCUUCCCUCAUCCCCUACCAUUAUAUGCUAACCUAUCGCUGGGGAUCGGUUCUCCAGCUCCAGCUCUCUUUGCUCCCAGGAAGAGCUUUUUAUUAACUGCAACGUUAUAACGCUCAUUCUUAUCUCCAUAAACUUAAAUUGCACUUUUCAAGGCCAAAUCUCCAUGACCUAAUUUCCUUCCCUGCGUCGACUGGACUGGAGGGACAGAAGCUCCCACCUCGCAGACACCACGGCUACUAACGAUAGCGGGCAUGUGGGGGCUGGAACUUAGACCUCGGAGUAGGGAGCACCCCGCCCCCCGCCCGUGUGUGACUCAGACGCCCCUUUUCAUCAGUGGCCUUCCGCGGCUCGUGGAACUUCCUGCCAGAGCUUGGGCUGCUCUGGAAGGUUCCCCACCUCGGUUCAGCGCUCACAACAUUGCUGCAAACAGUGCUCCCUGCUUCUCUGCACAAACCAGCUCCCCGCAGCCAGCGACCCAGCGCUGUGCUGUUUGCAGUCGGUUGUCGCAGGCUGGAGGAAGCAUUGCAAAUAUGCACAGCCGCUGCCAACGCUGCCAGCGGGGAGCCAGUCGGUCCUGUCGGCCCCACCCUGCCCCACAGCCAAGUUGAAUUUUGCAUUUCUGCGAUACUUAUCAGAGGCAGGUGCGGUGCCUCCUCCCUCGGCUUUCUGCUGGGUGCAGAGGGCAGCGGAUUGGGCGUGAUGGCUCAGCCUUGCGGUGGGGGGAGAGGUAGCGGCCUGAGCUCACAGAGGAGCAGGAGGUGACCUGGGCGAGCCCGAGCUGACAGGCGGGACAGGCAGCUGGCACGGAAGGGCACUGAGACACCAUCUUCCCGGAACGCUUCCUCCCGCGUCGGGGUGGGCAGUGUGGGCUUCAUGCGGAACCCUGGGACACCAGGCAAACAGCGGUAGCCUUGGUGGCAGCACCAGGAACCGCUUCACCAGGGAUCAGACCGCAGCGCACACACAGGACAUGUCCCUCCGCAGCCGCUGCUCUGGGGCUAAGUCCCCCCAGCA